This 229-nucleotide ribosomal RNA is filed under the name uncultured bacterium. RNAcentral describes it as "partial 16S ribosomal RNA". It matches the Rfam family "Bacterial small subunit ribosomal RNA", at positions 568 to 796 of the family's 1533-position model. The record is from RNAcentral.
UGCGUAGGCGGACUAAUAAGUCAGUGGUGAAAUCUUUCGGCUUAACCGGGAAACUGCCAUAGAUACUGUUAGUCUUGAGUUCGGUUGAGGUAGGCGGAAUGUGUAAUGUAGCGGUGAAAUGCUUAGAUAUUACACAGAACACCAAUUGCGUAGGCAGCUUACUAGACCGACACUGACGCUGAGGCACGAAAGCGUGGGGAGCGAACAGGAUUAGAUACCCUGGUAGUCC